AACGAACGCUGGCGGCAUGCUUAACACAUGCAAGUCGAACGAGACCUCCGGGUCUUGUGGCGCACGGGUGCGUAACGCGUGGGAACUUGCCCUUAGGUUCGGUAUAAUUCCCCGAAAGGGGUGCUAAUACCGGUUAAUCUCAUAGGACCAAAGAUCUAUUGCUUUUGGAUGGGCCCGCGUUGGAUUAGCUGGUUGGUAGGGUAAUAGCCUGCCAAGGCGACGUUCCAUAGCUGGUCUGGGAGGAUGAUCAGCCACACUGGGGCUAAGGCACGGCCCAGACUGGUACGGAGGAGUGGAGUAGAGAGUAUUAGGCGAUGAACCAAGGCGUGACACAGCAGUGUCGCGGAUGAGGGGAAGGCGUUAGUAUUGUGAAGCUCUUUUAGACGAAGUGAUAAUGACGGUACCGGGAGAAUAAGCACCGGCUAACUCCGUG
This 433-nucleotide ribosomal RNA is filed under the name uncultured bacterium. RNAcentral describes it as "partial 16S ribosomal RNA". It matches the Rfam family "Bacterial small subunit ribosomal RNA", at positions 29 to 507 of the family's 1533-position model. The record is from RNAcentral.